GAGAGAGAGAGAGAGAGAGAAUAGGUGUGUAUGAGACAAGAGCCAAUCCUUUUGAUCAAAAAGUUUGAAAGCAAACAAAAGGGUAAUCAACUACCUAGACCUCCAUCUCAUAUUCUACUUCAAGGGUCAACUUAGAAGGAAAAAAGAAAGAAGCAGCAAAUUCAGCAAUACUGUAGACAGGAACUGGCAAUGAGAGCAGACCGACAUAAGCAUAAGAACAACUUUCUGUCUCCACACAUUUUCAUCUGUAUUUUAUUUCUUGAAAGUGAGAGAGAGAAAGAGAGUCAACACUCAACAACUCCCUAAAAGAAAAUGAUAGAUGGAGGAGGAUGGAUAAUAAGAAAGCUCUUCUUUGUUUCUUUUUUCUUCUCUCGAAAUAGAAAUGGGGGCUAAAGAAUAUGAAAAGAAGAUCAAGAAAUCACCCAGAUGAAUCUCUGUUUCAUAUAUAAUCCUGAACUCAAACACCUUCCAUGAUAGUUUUAAGAAAGCACACUAGUUUUUGGCUAGGAAGAAGAGAAAGAACAGAGAAUUUGGAGUAAAAUAGCUUAACAAGUAUUGGGUGGAGAAGGAGAUCAAAGAGGAGAGAACAAAAGAGAGAGUUUUGCAGAAGGUUUUGGCUAGUGAAGCAAGCACUAAACAAGGAGCUUAUAGUAGGGUUGAGAGCCAAAAAGGAGAGAGGAGAGAGAAGGAAAAAAAGAGAAUUUUUUUUCUUUUUUUACAG
This 721-nucleotide unclassified non-coding RNA is filed under the name Hevea brasiliensis (rubber tree). Lineage: Eukaryota; Viridiplantae; Streptophyta; Magnoliopsida; Malpighiales; Euphorbiaceae. The record is from RNAcentral.